AAACCUAAAGAUAGCAAAGUAUAAAACUCUAUCACUCUCUUCACUUUACAAAGGAAACCCUUUCUGAAUAAUUUGCCAUGUCUCUGAAAAUGUUUCAAAUUUUGGUGUCUGCUCUGCUGUUUACAGCUUCUGUGUCGAGCGUCCUUGGAGCACCCUUUCUGACAGAAGAACCAGCGAAUCAAUUCAUGCGGCUCAAGCGACACAUUCCAUGUUCUCCCAGCUACUGGGACUCCAGCAGCAGCCAGAAGACAUGGGCACACACCCUGGCUGAACAGGUAUCUUCUCCCUUCCUCCUGCAGCACCUACUGAGAAAAAGAAAGCAUGGGUCUGGAAUUAAUGUGUAACACAAAUCCUUUGGGUCAAGAGAAGACAUUUUUCUGAUUUAUCGACAUGUGUCGGAACUCAAAAUGUCCCUCAGACAUUUUUGGAUGUUCCAGGCCCAGGUCAGAAGCAUUUGAGACCCUGGCAGGCAGCUGGAAACAGCUGUGAUUUUGGGUUUGAGCCAUGGAACGAUUUACCAACCUUGCAGGAAGGACAAGAAGUCACAAAUGCUUAGAUAUUAGAGUAGAAGCAGUCACAAAGUAGAGGGAAGAAUUUUUGAGUGCUGUACAGGGGGGUUUUGGUUUUGUACAUGGGAGUCAGAGGGUUUAAGAUGGAUUUGGGAUUUGGGCCUGCCCUGUCCUCCCUCUUUGUUCUUCCUUACCUCCAUGUUCUUGGUGAUGUUGGCACUCACAGAUUGGUUUAGAGUAGAAAGGCACCAUUUAAUAUAGGUAAUAGGCAUUGGGGAAAAACUGUAAACAUGGAACACGUAAUGUACCAUAUAAAAGAUAGAAAAGCACCACUUAAUAUAGGUAAUAGGCAUUGGGAAAAAUUGUAAACAUUUACCAUGUAAUGUACCAUAUAAAGGAUAGAAAAGCACCAUUUAAUAUAGGUAAUAGGCAUUGGUGAAAAACUGUUAAACAUGUAACACGUAAUGUACCAUAUAAAAGAGAGCAGCAGCCCUGGGUGGGAGAGAAGAAGCAGUCAGAUUCAGAGAGGAUGUCAGGGUGUGUGUGUGCCUCUGCCUGAGCUGUGAGCAAACCACAGCAGCCCCAGAAGAAAAUCUUUUAGAUAACUUGCAAUAAAUCACCAUGAGACUGAACA
This 1143-nucleotide long non-coding RNA is filed under the name Lonchura striata (white-rumped munia). RNAcentral describes it as "domestica (Bengalese finch) lncRNA (ENSLSDG00000011855.1)". Lineage: Eukaryota; Metazoa; Chordata; Aves; Passeriformes; Estrildidae. The record is from RNAcentral.